UACGUAGGGUGCGAGCGUUAAUCGGAAUUACUGGGCGUAAAGCGUGCGCAGGCGGCUUUGCAAGACAGAUGUGAAAUCCCCGGGCUCAACCUGGGAACUGCAUUUGUGACUGAAAGGCUAGAGUACGGCAGAGGGGGAUGGAAUUCCGCGUGUAGCAGUGAAAUGCGUAGAUAUGCGGAGGAACACCAAUGGCGAAGGCAAUCCCCUGGGCCUGUACUGACGCUCAUGCACGAAAGCGUGGGGAGCAAACAGG
RNAcentral lists this ribosomal RNA (253 nucleotides) under uncultured bacterium. Its description in RNAcentral is "partial 16S ribosomal RNA". It matches the Rfam family "Bacterial small subunit ribosomal RNA", at positions 524 to 776 of the family's 1533-position model. The record is from RNAcentral.